RNAcentral lists this ribosomal RNA (655 nucleotides) under Paratanytarsus grimmii. RNAcentral's name for it is "partial 28S ribosomal RNA". It matches the Rfam family "Eukaryotic large subunit ribosomal RNA", at positions 435 to 947 of the family's 3401-position model. Lineage: Eukaryota; Metazoa; Arthropoda; Insecta; Diptera; Chironomidae. The record is from RNAcentral.
UAUCUAAACGGAGAAAUUCAAUACCAAACUUAACAUUUGGUGUGCACUUUUCUCUUAGUAAGACGCCGUGAUCCAUUAGAAAUUGGUAGAUGCCAAUCUACAUGAGGUCAUCAAUGGGCUUGUACGAAGUUUAUUGGAACAAAUGGCAUAAUCUUUCAACGGUUGUGUGUAUUGUCUGGUAAGCGUGCGAGUACUCGUAAUGACUGUCUGAUGGAUUUUAAAGAUUGUAUCAUUGAUGUUUCGGCAUCACUUGCCGCAAGGCAAGAUUUCGAUAUAUAUCCGAUCAACGGUGGUUAAAUUUGGGAUACCUUUUGGACCCGUCUUGAAACACGGACCAAGGAGUCUAUCUAAUGUGCGAGUAAAUGGGUAUAUUUUGAAACCUAUUUGCGUAAUAAACGUAACUAUUUUAUGGGAUUACGUGAUUAUAUCCUUUAAUCGGGAGUAGUCUCUUCCAUCCCGGAGUACUUUUAUCAACAUAUGCGCAAGUAUAUGGAAAGUAUAUCAUGAGCAUAUUGGAUACGACCCGAAAGAUGGUGAACUAUGCCUGAUCAGGUCGAAGUCAGGGGAAACCCUGAUGGAGGACCGAAGCAGUUCUGACGUGCAAAUCGAUUGUCAGAAUUGGGCAUAGGGGCGAAAGACCAAUCGAACCAUCUAG